AGCGUUGUCCGGAAUUAUUGGGCGUAAAGAGCGCGUAGGCGGUCCGAUAAGUCGGCUGUGAAAGUCAGGGGCUCAACCCUUGGAAGCCGGCCGAUACUGUCGGACUAGAGUCCGGAAGAGGCGAGUGGAAUUCCCGGUGUAGCGGUGAAAUGCGCAGAUAUCGGGAGGAACACCAAUGGCGAAGGCAGCUCGCUGGGACGGUACUGACGCUGAGGCGCGAAAGCGUGGGGAGCAAACAGG
RNAcentral lists this ribosomal RNA (240 nucleotides) under uncultured bacterium. RNAcentral describes it as "partial 16S ribosomal RNA". It matches the Rfam family "Bacterial small subunit ribosomal RNA", at positions 537 to 776 of the family's 1533-position model. The record is from RNAcentral.